AAGUCGUAACAAGGUUUCCGUAGGUGAACCUGCGGAAGGAUCAUUACCGUAUUAAAUUACAAUAAAGCUUUCAUUCCAUGUAAAGUGGAUGAAUAGCUCAUGAGAGAUUGUAUGAAUCAGUGCUUAAUAAUAAUGUGAGUGCUACCUCGUACAAACUCUAGUACGGAAUGCCAUUGUUGCAUAUACGUACGAUUUUGUUUGAUCUUUUAAAAAAAGUUCAAUCUAGAGAGCUUGGAAGCAAUGGGUAGCGAAUCUUUACAGCUUUAAAGUUAUACGCCCGCUUCUGCUCUAUUUUGAUUGUUCUUUUUUGAUCAUCAAAAAUAACGUUCUAUCUUGCAAAAUGCGAGAAAGGACGAAAGCUAAAAGAAUAGACUAAACAAAUGUUUUUAAAAAAUUAAAAAAAAAUCAACCUCGAGUGGUGGAUCACUCGGCUCGUGG
This 438-nucleotide unclassified non-coding RNA is filed under the name fungal sp. RNAcentral describes it as "partial internal transcribed spacer region". The stretch from base 1 to 46 matches the Rfam family "Eukaryotic small subunit ribosomal RNA", at positions 1786 to 1831 of the family's 1831-position model. Lineage: Eukaryota; Fungi. The record is from RNAcentral.